AGAGUUUGAUCAUGGCUCAGGAUGAACGCUAGCGGCAGGCCUAAUACAUGCAAGUCGAGGGGCAGCGCAGUGUAGCAAUACAUGGGCGGCGACCGGCAAACGGGUGCGGAACACGUACGCAACCUUCCUUUAAGUGGGGAAUAGCCCAGAGAAAUUUGGAUUAAUACCCCGUAAGAUGGUGGUCUGGCAUCAGACAGCCAUUAAAGCUGAGGCGCUUAAAGAUGGGCGUGCGUCUGAUUAGGUAGUUGGUGAGGUAAUGGCUCACCAAGCCGACGAUCAGUAACUGGCGUGAGAGCGCGACCAGUCACACGGGCACUGAGACACGGGCCCGACUCCUACGGGAGGCAGCAGUAAGGAAUAUUGGUCAAUGGACGCAAGUCUGAACCAGCCAUGCCGCGUGAAGGAUGAAGGUCCUCUGGAUUGUAAACUUCUUUUAUGUGGGAAGAAACCACCUUUUUCUAAGGGUGUUGACGGUACCAUAGGAAUAAGCACCGGCUAACUCCGUGCCAGCCGCCGCGGUAAUUC
This 525-nucleotide ribosomal RNA is filed under the name uncultured bacterium. RNAcentral's name for it is "bacterial SSU rRNA". It matches the Rfam family "Bacterial small subunit ribosomal RNA", at positions 8 to 526 of the family's 1533-position model. The record is from RNAcentral.